CCUUUGCCAACUGACCAGGGGCUAUGGUCACUUCAGCUCUCUCCCUCUCCACAGCCAUGCAGCUUCCCUGCCGAUGGUCAAACUGAUAAGCAAGGAGGGGGUGAUUUGUAUCACCGUUAGGGCGCAGGGCUGUUCAGAGAGGUUGACGGAAGUAAAUGCUAAUUUUAUAAGUCCAUGUGUAUUUUUCACUUGUGAUAGUAAGUUCGCUUGUUCAGCAGUGUGCUGUGUAAAGAAGUGCUUCCUUUUCAACCCCAUUGGAUGAGCCCGGGUUCCGGAAUUAGGAGAGAAGGAUGAAAACUUAUCCCUGUCCACUUUACCCAACCUUGUGUGCAUAAAUAACUGUAAAUAAAAUAAAAGUUUGCUGCUUUUUUGUGUCAGCCGUCACAGGGGGCCUCUGCAAGCUGCCUAACGGCAGGCCAGGCCUUGAGUGGAAACCUGCCCAGAAAGCCUUGACAAAAGACUUCCCAGUGCAGCCUUCAUCUCUUUGUUCUUCAAAGCAUAGAUAGCUGGGUUCAGCAAGGGGGUGAUGGAAGUGUAGAAGACAGAGAGUACCUUAUCAAUCAUGAACCGGGUGUACGGACGCAAGUAAAUAAACAUAAUAGGUCCAAAGUACAUGGUGACCACGAUGAGGUGAGAGGUGCAUGUGGAGGCAGCCUUGGUGGUCCCUUCAGAGGGACCCCGGGAGCAGACUGUGUAGAGAAUGAAUCCAUACGAGAGAAGCAAGCCA
Molecule: non-coding RNA, 727 nt
Organism: Podarcis lilfordi (Lilford's wall lizard)
Lineage: Eukaryota; Metazoa; Chordata; Lepidosauria; Squamata; Lacertidae
Source: the annotation of a GenBank genome assembly